AUGUUAGUGGUGCGCCACAUCGCAGUGGACCAUAAAGAUCUCAUCCAUGAUGUCUCUUUAGACUUCCAUGGGUGACCUGCUCCAGCGACCAGAGUGUCAAGGUCUGGGAUAAAAGUGAAAGUGGGGAUUGUCAUUGUACCGCUAGCUGGAAGACACAUAGUGGACCUGUGUGGCAUGUGACAUGGACCCAUCCUGAAUUUGGACAGGUUUUGGCUUCUUGUUCUUUUGACCAAACAGCUGCUGUGUGGGAAGAAAUAGUAGGAGAAUCAAAUGAUAAACUUUGAGGACAGAGUCAUUGGGUUAAGAGGACAACUCUAGUAGAUGGCAGAGCAUCCGUUACCGAUGUGAAAUUUGCUCCUAAGCACAUGGAUCUUUGUUAGCAACCUGUUCGGCAGAUGGUAUAGUAAGAAUAUAUGAGGCGCCAGAUGUUAUGAAUCUCAGCAGUGGUCUCUGCAGCAUGAGAUUUUAUGUAUUUCUUGGAACCCUUCAAGUUCUCGUGCUCAUUCCCCCGUGAUAGCUGUAGGAAGUGAUGACAGUAGUCCAAAUGCAAUGGCCAAGGUUCAGAUUUUCGAAUAUAAUGAAAAUAUCAGGAAACAUGCAAAAGCUGAAACUCUCAUGACAGUCACAAAUCCUGUACAUGACCUUGCCUUUGCUCCAAACUUAGGAAGAUCUUUCCAUAUUCUAGCCAUAGCAACCAAAGAUGUGAGGAUUUUUACAUUAAAGCCUGUGAGGAAAGAACUUACUUCUUCUGGUGGGCCCACAAAAUUUGAAAUCCAUAUAGUGGCUCAGUUUGAUAAUCAUAAUUCCCAGGUCUGGCGAGUGUGUUGGAAUAUAACAGGAACAGUGCUAGCAUCUUCAGGAGAUGAUGGCUGUGUAAGAUUGUGGAAAGCUAAUUAUAUGGAUAAUUGGAAGUGUACUGAUAUUUUGAAGGGUAAUGAGAGUCCUGUCAAUGGGGAUUCUCAGCAGGGAAACUCAAAUCCUUCCCUGGGUUCAAAUAUCCCAAAUCUUCAAAAUUUAUUAAAUGGAUCUUCUUCUGGAAGAAAGCACAGCUGA
This is an RNA transcript of Neomonachus schauinslandi (Hawaiian monk seal), 1053 nucleotides long. It is a transcript of the gene named nucleoporin SEH1-like, with no coding region annotated. The transcript has a single exon. Lineage: Eukaryota; Metazoa; Chordata; Mammalia; Carnivora; Phocidae. The record is from RefSeq and is a predicted model, not a curated record.